UUAUCUAGGAUGUUGUCCACUAAGCUAAUGAUGGGGAUUGUAGCACUACCCUGCACACAGACAUGGAAUGGAUUUGCCUAGUCCAUUAUCAGAAGAGUGACCAGGACUGUUCGUCCUGUCAGAGAAGUUUCUCGAGAAGCAUUACAAGAGACUUGUAUGAAUGGGCAGAAGAAUUUUAUUUAACUGACCACCCCAUCAUUGCCUGCUGUUGGAGACUGAACACUUUAUUGAAAAUUGCUGGAGUGUAGCAAUCAGUGGGUGUCCUUAUUUGCCCUGAGAAGAGUCAGAGAAGUAUUCAUUUUUAUUGCAAAAAGUUUAGUUCAUGUAAUGAGCAUGAACACACAUUUUACAGUUAUCUCCCUUAGACUAUGUAAAUUAUAAUACAGCACUUGCUAAUGAUGUUAUUUUACAUGUUAAUGUUGAUUGAAUGUUGUCAAUUUGGUUUGUAGUCAAAGAUAUGAGUUAUAACUGCCUGUAUUGUACCAGUUUACAUACAGUUACCUUCAGAAUUAACAGUAGAUUACAUGUACCUGACUCCCCAGGUUACCUGAGUGAUUAUUGCUGUUGGUCUGCAUCCAUCACUGUGUUUCGUCUGCCGUGCAUUACCAGUAUUGAACAUGUUAUAUACCUGUCUUUAGAUGGGACGUAUUAACUUAAGCUCCCUGGGCCUCAUGAGAUGGUGACACCCUGCAGUAGGAGCAGUUCCUACCGAUAUCUCUUAAAAGCAGACAGAGGUUCUCAUAGCAUCUGAUCCAUUUCUGGAGACAGACUUUUGUAUGGAGCUGGGUAGCAGUUACUUAGAUGUCCAGCUUAUUGAUGAGGAUAAUUUCCCUGAGACUCUAACAUUUUGUAGGACUUGGAUAGCUCUAUUGCUGUAGAAAAUGUCAGGUUUGUUAAUGAAAUUAUGUAAAAUGUUUUAUGCCUCAUUCAUGCCAUGGCUGGGGCAUAUAGUAUUAACCCUUUUUAGCUCACAUGAGCUGAAAGCUAAAGUGGGCUAUUCUGAUCACAUUUUGUCCAGCAUCAGUCUUUUCGUCUCUUCAUGCACUUUUAACAUUUUCGACUUCUUCUUAAGCACCACAGGGCUAACAUCACUCAGCCAAACUUGCCUCAAACCAUGCUUGGGUAAAGAGGAUUCAAGUUUGUGCAAAAUGGAGGACCAUGCUUCAUCCAAAGGGGAGUACCCCCGCGGUGGUCUAGAAGUUAGAGUGCACGCCCCACAUGCGGAAGGCCGGGGUUCAAAUCCUGGCCACGACAGACCUAAGUCGUUAAAACAGGUAGUGACAGUUCCAUCGUCAAACGUUCAGCAUCAGGUGUGAAUGUCACGGGUCCUCGGAGAUGACCUUAAAAACGGUAGGUAUGGCACGCUAAAUUUAAAUGUUAAACAAGAUACAAUCAAUCAUUUGAACAAACAUGAAUUCCCUUUACCUAAGGAUGAAUGGUACCAGUUUUGAUUGGAAUAGGCCAAGUGGUUGUG
Long non-coding RNA from Ostrea edulis (European flat oyster), 1474 nucleotides. RefSeq lists it as uncharacterized. The transcript has 5 exons. The record is from RefSeq and is a predicted model, not a curated record. NCBI's taxonomy places the organism in Eukaryota, Metazoa, Mollusca, Bivalvia, Ostreida, Ostreidae.